Molecule: ribosomal RNA, 497 nt
Filed under: uncultured bacterium
Lineage: Bacteria
Description: partial 16S ribosomal RNA
Rfam family: Bacterial small subunit ribosomal RNA
Source: RNAcentral
GAUGAACGCUGGCGGCGUGCCUAAUACAUGCAAGUCGAGCGAACAGACGAGGAGCUUGCUCCUCUGACGUUAGCGGCGGACGGGUGAGUAACACGUGGAUAACCUACCUAUAAGACUGGGAUAACUACGGGAAACCGGAGCUAAUACCGGAUAAUAUAUUGAACCGCAUGGUUCAAUAGUGAAAGACGGUUUUGCUGUCACUUAUAGAUGGAUCCGCGCCGCAUUAGCUAGUUGGUAAGGUAACGGCUUACCAAGGCAACGAUGCGUAGCCGACCUGUGAGGGUGAUCGGCCACACUGGAACUGAGACACGGUCCAGACUCCUACGGGAGGCAGCAGUAGGGAAUCUUCCGCAAUGGGCGAAAGCCUGACGGAGCAACGCCGCGUGAGUGAUGAAGGUCUUCGGAUCGUAAAACUCUGUUAUUAGGGAAGAACAAAUGUGUAAGUAACUAUGCACGUCUUGACGGUACCUAAUCAGAAAGCCACGGCUAACUACGUG